This 300-nucleotide ribosomal RNA is filed under the name uncultured bacterium. RNAcentral's name for it is "bacterial SSU rRNA". It matches the Rfam family "Bacterial small subunit ribosomal RNA", at positions 114 to 428 of the family's 1533-position model. The record is from RNAcentral.
CACGUGACUAACCUACCUCCGAGUGGGGAAUAACUCCGGGAAACCGGGGCUAAUACCGCAUAACACUGUGAAGUCAAAGCAGCAAUGCGCUUGGAGAGGGGGUCGCGGCUGAUUAGCUAGUUGGCGGGGUAACGGCCUACCAAGGCGACGAUCCGUAGCUGGUCUGAGAGGACGACCAGCCACACUGGGACUGAGACACGGCCCAGACUCCUACGGGAGGCAGCAGUGGGGAAUAUUGGACAAUGGGGGAAACCCUGAUCCAGCGACGCCGCGUGUGUGAAGAAGGCCUGCGGGUUGUAA